This 529-nucleotide long non-coding RNA is filed under the name Arabidopsis thaliana (thale cress). RNAcentral describes it as "long non-coding RNA (ATHA_LNC000573)". The record is from RNAcentral. Lineage: Eukaryota; Viridiplantae; Streptophyta; Magnoliopsida; Brassicales; Brassicaceae.
CAGUAAGAAAAAUGAAUACAAAUUUAAUUGCUCAAGACUCUUUGGACCCUGGAGUGGUUGGUUGCAAUUACCAUGCCUCAAAUACAUCGAAAAUCUAACCUUACUGAUUAGCACAUACAAGUUUGAGAUGUCUGGAUCUUUGUAUACUCUGACUAACAUCGAAAGCAAAUGCAAUGGUUGAAACAUGAAACUAGACUCUUAGACUUGACCAUUAGGAUCUUCUUUUCUGUUUUCAUUUCCUUAAAAAAGCUAAAGCCAGUUAGCAAUGUAGACUCUGAUGGACCAAAGUGAGCUAUUAUGUUUUACACACGGAUUCUGGAAAAGCAUAAAAUUGGGAAACAAUGAGAGAAUUAGGAUGUGGAAGCAGGCACUAUGGAUGGUAUUACAAUGGAAGGAAAGAAAAGAACCUGAAGCUAUUCAUUUGCAGAAUCCAUGAUGAGUUUAGUUUGUCAAAUCAGGGAAACUGUGUUGACUCAAUAAGCAGCGUAUCUGAGCACAGACCUGUAUGGCAUCUUGAGUCUGUUUCAAA